CAGUCUUUGCUGCAGUGAUUGGCAUGAUCUUCUGUAUGAGAUCAUUCAAGCAGUUCAAGACUUUAAUUUACCUUUUUUUUCUUUUUCAUUUGCAGAUUCUUUAUUGAGCAUUUUUUAGGUAGUGAAUAUACCUCAGCUAGCAAAAAGCUGAAGAUUUGUGUGUUAGUGGUGAAGAGGUUUUUGCUGCUGGUGGGCAGGCUGGAAGGCCUUAGUAGGAGAGACAGCAUCCCAUUGCCAAAUGCACAAAGAAGACGACAUGAAGAGAAGCCAGGGAGCCAGAGACAAAGAGAAAAAUACUGAUGUUAUCAAGAUCAGGAGUCCAUGAUAAUGGAUCCAUACGUUAAAUCAGAGCAAGAGCUAAUCUAGUAUCACAAGGCUGAUAUCUUCAGCUGGAGCAAAAACUAGAAUUGUAGGGGAGUAAGGAGGGACUAUCUUGCUCAGAAGUCUCCUGUGUGGCUAGCGGAUGACUACUUGGGGAGGUAGGUCUGCUUCUCACAGUAGAAGUCACAACUAUUUGACACCUGAUUCUCCCCCAAAUAGACUAUUCACUAUUGUGCAUUAGUGUGUUACAGCCUUUAGAAGUCAUAAUAGCAGAAGUUACUGUAAGAUUGCAUAAGAGAACAAUUUCUGUGCAAAACCUACUUCUGGGCUACUGCAUGAAAUCCCAAACAGACACUUAAACACACAUGUUUUUCAGUGUUAUUUCUAAGUAAAUAGUAUUUGAGGACAAAUACCUGGGAAAGUAACAGUUAACAGCCUAAGUUGUGAAAAAAAUGUUGCCAUUUGCAAUGUUGUAUUCACUUUUCACUGAAAUACUGUGUUCCUGUGAUUUUUUUCACUGCUGAAGUUUCAGCACUGCUCAGGAAAAAGAGACAAUGCCUAGCAUCUUUUGUUUGGAUCUCUGAUGCUUCUUUGUUAUGCUUGCCAAGCAAUACUAAAAAUCUGGCUUUGAAGAUUAAUAGAUUAUAAAUUACACACACAAUAAUUUAAUCAGUUUUUAGUAUCUGCACAUUCUGAGCAUGGUAAAUGGUUACAUCUCUCCAGGUGACAUUUCCUUGCUUGGUAAUACUUGAAGAAAAGGUAAAUCAAGCUAACCUGACCCCAUAGUUACUGUAAUAAUCUUUCCUUUUCUUAAGGUCAUGUAGUUCUAGUUGAAACUAGUAUUGUUCAUCUCAGAUUGGGUGCAAGAGGCCUUAACCCUUCUGUUGCCUUACUUCAGAGGAAGAAAUAUCUAAAAAUAUUUAAAUGCACAGAAAUGACGGACCAGCCAGUCACUUCUAAGACUUUAAGGACCAAUACA
RNAcentral lists this long non-coding RNA (1300 nucleotides) under Anas platyrhynchos platyrhynchos (common mallard). Its description in RNAcentral is "lncRNA (ENSAPLG00000028883.1)". Lineage: Eukaryota; Metazoa; Chordata; Aves; Anseriformes; Anatidae. The record is from RNAcentral.